Molecule: ribosomal RNA, 1643 nt
Filed under: Escherichia coli
Lineage: Bacteria; Pseudomonadati; Pseudomonadota; Gammaproteobacteria; Enterobacterales; Enterobacteriaceae
Description: partial 23S ribosomal RNA
Rfam family: Bacterial large subunit ribosomal RNA
Source: RNAcentral
UAAUGGGUCAGCGACUUAUAUUCUGUAGCAAGGUUAACCGAAUAGGGGAGCCGAAGGGAAACCGAGUCUUAACUGGGCGUUAAGUUGCAGGGUAUAGACCCGAAACCCGGUGAUCUAGCCAUGGGCAGGUUGAAGGUUGGGUAACACUAACUGGAGGACCGAACCGACUAAUGUUGAAAAAUUAGCGGAUGACUUGUGGCUGGGGGUGAAAGGCCAAUCAAACCGGGAGAUAGCUGGUUCUCCCCGAAAGCUAUUUAGGUAGCGCCUCGUGAAUUCAUCUCCGGGGGUAGAGCACUGUUUCGGCAAGGGGGUCAUCCCGACUUACCAACCCGAUGCAAACUGCGAAUACCGGAGAAUGUUAUCACGGGAGACACACGGCGGGUGCUAACGUCCGUCGUGAAGAGGGAAACAACCCAGACCGCCAGCUAAGGUCCCAAAGUCAUGGUUAAGUGGGAAACGAUGUGGGAAGGCCCAGACAGCCAGGAUGUUGGCUUAGAAGCAGCCAUCAUUUAAAGAAAGCGUAAUAGCUCACUGGUCGAGUCGGCCUGCGCGGAAGAUGUAACGGGGCUAAACCAUGCACCGAAGCUGCGGCAGCGACACUAUGUGUUGUUGGGUAGGGGAGCGUUCUGUAAGCCUGUGAAGGUGGCCUGUGAGGGUUGCUGGAGGUAUCAGAAGUGCGAAUGCUGACAUAAGUAACGAUAAAGCGGGUGAAAAGCCCGCUCGCCGGAAGACCAAGGGUUCCUGUCCAACGUUAAUCGGGGCAGGGUGAGUCGACCCCUAAGGCGAGGCCGAAAGGCGUAGUCGAUGGGAAACAGGUUAAUAUUCCUGUACUUGGUGUUACUGCGAAGGGGGGACGGAGAAGGCUAUGUUGGCCGGGCGACGGUUGUCCCGGUUUAAGCGUGUAGGCUGGUUUUCCAGGCAAAUCCGGAAAACCAAGGCUGAGGCGUGAUGACGAGGCACUACGGUGCUGAAGCGACAAAUGCCCUGCUUCCAGGAAAAGCCUCUAAGCAUCAGGUAACAUCAAAUCGUACCCCAAACCGACACAGGUGGUCAGGUAGAGAAUACCAAGGCGCUUGAGAGAACUCGGGUGAAGGAACUAGGCAAAAUGGUGCCGUAACUUCGGGAGAAGGCACGCUGAUAUGUAGGUGAAGCGACUUGCUCGUGGAGCUGAAAUCAGUCGAAGAUACCAGCUGGCUGCAACUGUUUAUUAAAAACACAGCACUGUGCAAACACGAAAGUGGACGUAUACGGUGUGACGCCUGCCCGGUGCCGGAAGGUUAAUUGAUGGGGUUAGCGGUAACGCGAAGCUCUUGAUCGAAGCCCCGGUAAACGGCGGCCGUAACUAUAACGGUCCUAAGGUAGCGAAAUUCCUUGUCGGGUAAGUUCCGACCUGCACGAAUGGCGUAAUGAUGGCCAGGCUGUCUCCACCCGAGACUCAGUGAAAUUGAACUCGCUGUGAAGAUGCAGUGUACCCGCGGCAAGACGGAAAGACCCCGUGAACCUUUACUAUAGCUUGACACUGAACAUUGAGCCUUGAUGUGUAGGAUAGGUGGGAGGCUUUGAAGUGUGGACGCCAGUCUGCAUGGAGCCGACCUUGAAAUACCACCCUUUAAUGUUUGAUGUUCUAACGUUGGCCCCUAAUC